CCUACGGGUGGCAGCAGUGAGGAAUAUUGGUCAAUGGACGAGAGUCUGAACCAGCCAAGUAGCGUGAAGGAUGACUGCCCUACGGGUUGUAAACCUCUUUUAUCAAGGAACAAAACGAGUCACGUGUGCCUUAUUGCAUGUACUUUAUGAAUAAGGAUCGGCUAAUUCCGUGCCAGCAGCCACGGUAAUACGGAGGUUGCGAGCGUUAUCCGGAUUUAUUGGGUUUAAAGGGAGCGUAGAUGGGUUGUUAAGUCAGUUGGGAAAGUUUGAGGCUCAAACGUAAAAUUGCAAUUGAUACUGGCAGGCUUGAGUACAGUUGAGGUAGGCGGAAUUCGUGGUGUAGCGGUGAAAUGCUUAGAUAUCACGAAGAACCCCGAUUGCGAAGGCAGCUUACUAAACUGUGACUGACAUUGAUGCUCGAAAGUGUGGGUAUCAAACAGGAUUAGAUACCCGUGUAGUC
This 460-nucleotide ribosomal RNA is filed under the name uncultured bacterium. RNAcentral's name for it is "partial 16S ribosomal RNA". It matches the Rfam family "Bacterial small subunit ribosomal RNA", at positions 338 to 795 of the family's 1533-position model. The record is from RNAcentral.